ACACACACACACACACACACACACAUUUCGGUCUUCACAGUUCACAGCACUAAGCUAUGUGCUCAUGCCCCCUUUUCUGCUAUAAAAAGGUCUCGUCCAUGGCCUUCUUCUCCACAGAGCUACUCACAAUAUCUCAUCACACAUUUGCGCCCUAGCUAGCUAGUUUGCAAUGGAGAGCAUCGCCAUUGCUGUUGUCCCAGCUGGCUCCCAGGCUGGUUCGUCUUGGCUGAUGAUGAUGAGGAGGAUGAUGUCCUCCUCCAUGGUCGGGCUGCUUGUGAGCUCGCUGGAGAAGAAGAAGAAGAAGAAGACGCCCAAGCCUAUGGUGCGUUGCCACGACGCGUCGUGCUGCUGAUCUUGGCGAUGGCUCUAUCCUCCCUGAGCUCCCUUUCUUUCCACACGCCCCCCGGCCGCCUGCUGUAGUGCUGUACCUUCGCCGACCACGGCGUCGAUCCUUGGAGCAACUCUCCCUAUGGUCCAAGGAGCGCCUCUUCUUGACCUUGCAAGACUUUCGCUUGCAAGGCGCUUCCCUGCAUAUUGUCCGUGCCAUGCUCAUCUCUACCACCCAUCUCCUCUCUGCCAUUUCUGUCUAUCCCUCCUGAGCUUUGUGGUUCCGAACGAUCGAGUUGUUUUUUUUAUGCGUGAUGAAGGUGUGUGAUCUUGCUUUGAUGUAGGUUAAUUACGUGUUUGUAAUGUGUGCUGAAGGGCUUUCUUCAUUGUAUCGUUGAAACUUCCAAA
This 735-nucleotide non-coding RNA is filed under the name Oryza sativa Japonica Group (Japanese rice). The record is from RNAcentral. Lineage: Eukaryota; Viridiplantae; Streptophyta; Magnoliopsida; Poales; Poaceae.